AUAUUGGGACGUACCGAGUAAUGGGGGAUAACUAUCCGAAAGGAUAGCUAAUACCGCAUACGCUUUGAGAAGGAAAGCAGGGGAUCUUCGGACCUUGCGUUAUUCGAGCGGCCAAUAACUGAUUAGCUAGUUGGUGGGGUAAGGGCCCACCAAGGCGACGAUCAGUAGCGGGUCUGAGAGGAUGAUCCGCCACACUGGGACUGAGACACGGCCCAGACUCCUACGGGAGGCAGCAGUGGGGAAUUUUGGACAAUGGGCGAAAGCCUGAUCCAGCCAUGCCGCGUGUCUGAAGAAGGCCUUCGGGUUGUAAAGGACUUUUGUUAGGGAAGAAAAGGUUGAUGCUAAUAUCAUUAACUGAUGACGGUACCUAAAGAAUAAGCACCGGCUAACUACGUGCCAGCAGCCGCGGUAAUACGU
Molecule: ribosomal RNA, 417 nt
Filed under: Kingella kingae
Lineage: Bacteria; Pseudomonadati; Pseudomonadota; Betaproteobacteria; Neisseriales; Neisseriaceae
Description: bacterial SSU rRNA
Rfam family: Bacterial small subunit ribosomal RNA
Source: RNAcentral